GACGAACGCUGGCGGCGUGCUUAACACAUGCAAGUCGAACGGAAAGGCCUGCUUUCCCUUGUGGAUUGCGGGUACUCGAGUGGCGAACGGGUGAGUAACACGUGAGUGAUCUGCCCCCAACUUGGGUAUAAGCCUGGGAAACUGGGUCUAAUUCCCGAUAGGACUGCAGGGUGGUGCCUGUGGUGGAACACGAUUUUCUAGUGGUUGGGGAUGAGCUCGCGGCCUAUCAGCUUGUUGGUGGGGUAAUGGCCUACCAAGGCGGCGACGGGUAGCCGGCCUGAGAGGGUGGGCGGCAACAUUGGGACUGCGAUACGGCCCAGACUACUACGGGAGGCAGCAGUGGGGAAUAUGGCACGAGGGGCGGAAGCCUGAUGCAGCGACGCCGCGUGGGGGAUGACGGCCUUCGGGUUGUAAACUCCUUUCGACCGCGAGGAAGCCACCUGGUUGGAAGGGUGGUGACGGUAGUGGUAGAAGAAGCACCGGCUAACUACGUG
This 494-nucleotide ribosomal RNA is filed under the name uncultured bacterium. Its description in RNAcentral is "partial 16S ribosomal RNA". It matches the Rfam family "Bacterial small subunit ribosomal RNA", at positions 28 to 507 of the family's 1533-position model. The record is from RNAcentral.